UACGUAGGGUGCAAGCGUUAUCCGGAAUUAUUGGGCGUAAAGAGCUCGUAGGCGGUUUGUCGCGUCUGCUGUGAAAACCCGAGGCUCAACCUCGGGCCGGCAGUGGGUACGGGCAAACUAGAGUGCGGUAGGGGAGAUUGGAAUUCCUGGUGUAGCGGUGGAAUGCGCAGAUAUCAGGAGGAACACCGAUGGCGAAGGCAGAUCUCUGGGCCGUAACUGACGCUGAGGAGCGAAAGCAUGGGGAGCGAACAGG
RNAcentral lists this ribosomal RNA (253 nucleotides) under uncultured bacterium. RNAcentral describes it as "partial 16S ribosomal RNA". It matches the Rfam family "Bacterial small subunit ribosomal RNA", at positions 524 to 776 of the family's 1533-position model. The record is from RNAcentral.